RNAcentral lists this ribosomal RNA (479 nucleotides) under uncultured bacterium. Its description in RNAcentral is "partial 16S ribosomal RNA". It matches the Rfam family "Bacterial small subunit ribosomal RNA", at positions 28 to 507 of the family's 1533-position model. The record is from RNAcentral.
GAUGAACGCUAGCGGGAGGCCUAACACGUGCAAGCCGAGCGGUAUUGUUUCUUCGGAAAUGAGAGAGCGGCGUACGGGUGCGUAACACGUGUGCAACCUGCCUUUAUCUGGGGGAUAGCCUUUCGAAAGGAAGAUUAAUACUCCAUAAUAUAUUGAACGGCAUCGUUUAAUAUUGAAAGCUCCGGCGGAUAGAGAUGGGCACGCGCAAGAUUAGCUAGUUGGUGAGGUAACGGCUCACCAAGGCGAUGAUCUUUAGGGGGCCUGAGAGGGUGAUCCCCCAAACUGGUACUGAGACACGGACCAGACUCCUACGGGAGGCAGCAGUGAGGAAUAUUGGUCAAUGGGUGCAAGCCUGAACCAGCCAUCCCGCGUGAAGGACGACUGCCCUAUGGGUUGUAAACUUCUUUUGUAUAGGGAUAAACCUACCCUCGUGAGGGUAGCUGAAGGUACUAUACGAAUAAGCACCGGCUAACUCCGUG